GACACGAUUCUACAUGAAGUGAAAUUGAGUCUUUAUAAUUUAUGAGCUUGUAUAAAGUAUAAAAAAAAUCGCAGAUUUAAUUUGAUCGCUGUAUUUUAUAGAGUAUCUUACCGAACUUCUGAGAGCGUAAGGUCAGACAGUGUAGUGCGUCUUGAAAACCCAGAUCUAAAAGGACUAAACAAUAACUAACAACGGUCUACAAGAGAUAGGUUAGAGCUUCUUAACAAAGUAAUAUGAAAUGAAAGUUGUUGAUGCUUUUUCCAUAAUAUGUACGUUGUCAGGGGCUGGAGUUCUGGGUCUGGCUUGCUUUAAUUUACUAUCACGCAUUCAGGAGAAAUCUGAAAGUGAACCAUUAAGGAAGUUUAUUUUGAAAACUGGAAUAUUUGCACUUGUGUGUGUCAUUAUCAGCACCUGUGUCUAUUAUGUCAGUAUUCAUCAAAGGUUUCUCAACUUUAAUCACCUAGACGUGAGCAAAUCUAUCGGCUUCUCCUUCAUCCUGAGUGCUGUUGGUGGGGUCCUCAUCGGCGUAGGCAGUGUUAUUUUCUACGUGUCAUGCUUGAGGCAUCCUAGUCCUUAGACUAGAGGACUAUGGGUGGAGCACAACUUAUCACUUAACUUACAUUUAUUUUCUUUAUGUUGAUAUACCCACCAUGUCAUUAUCUUAUGGCUUUGAUUUAAUAUCACAAAUUUUGUUUUUCGUAUUACUAUGUUAAUAAAUAAUUCGUCUUUUUAAAGCACCAAGAAAACGGAGCACUUCAUCAAUUAUGUGUUCAACAAAGACUGCUAAAGAUGUAAAGGCUUUGAUUUGUUGUUUUCACAAUCUCUACCAUUUAUACCACUAAAGAGAGGUUCUCAAACUUUUUUGACCCUUUUAUACCGUCAAAACGUGGCCACGGACAUUUAAAUGAAAAAACUACAUGAAUGCAUAUUAUAUAAGUAAAAAAAAAUUGUUGAUAAUUGUUUAUUUAGAUAAAAACUUAUGUUUAAAAUAAAAUUUUAAAAUAUGA
This is a long non-coding RNA of Biomphalaria glabrata, 1007 nucleotides long. RefSeq lists it as uncharacterized. The transcript is spliced from 3 exons. NCBI's taxonomy places the organism in Eukaryota, Metazoa, Mollusca, Gastropoda, Planorbidae. The record is from RefSeq and is a predicted model, not a curated record.